GACGAACGCUGGCGGCGUGCCUAAUACAUGCAAGUAGAACGCUGAAGAGAGGAGCUUGCUCUUCUUGGAUGAGUUGCGAACGGGUGAGUAACGCGUAGGUAACCUGCCUUGUAGCGGGGGAUAACUAUUGGAAACGAUAGCUAAUACCGCAUAACAAUGGAUGACACAUGUCAUUUAUUUGAAAGGGGCAAUUGCUCCACUACAAGAUGGACCUGCGUUGUAUUAGCUAGUAGGUGAGGUAAUGGCUCACCUAGGCGACGAUACAUAGCCGACCUGAGAGGGUGAGCGGCCACCCUGGGACUGAGACACGGCCCAGACGCCUUCGGGAGGCAGCAGUAGGGAAUCUUCGGCAAUGGGGGCAACCCUGACCGAGCAACGCCGCGUGAGUGAAGAAGGUUUUCGGAUCGUAAAGCUCUGUUGUAAGUCAAGAACGGGUGUGAGAGUGGAAAGUUCACACUGUGACGGUAGCUUACCAGAAAGGGACGGCUAACUACGUG
Molecule: ribosomal RNA, 497 nt
Filed under: uncultured bacterium
Lineage: Bacteria
Description: partial 16S ribosomal RNA
Rfam family: Bacterial small subunit ribosomal RNA
Source: RNAcentral